This 509-nucleotide ribosomal RNA is filed under the name uncultured bacterium. Its description in RNAcentral is "bacterial SSU rRNA". It matches the Rfam family "Bacterial small subunit ribosomal RNA", at positions 28 to 533 of the family's 1533-position model. The record is from RNAcentral.
GAUGAACGCUAGCGGCAGGCCUAAUACAUGCAAGUCGAACGGAUAUAUGUUUUUCGGAAUAUAUAUUAGUGGCGCACGGGUGAGUAACACGUACAUAACUUGCCCUCAAGCGGGGGAUAGCCUUGGGAAACUGAGAGUAAUACCCCAUAGAAUUAUUGGACGGCAUCGUUUGAUAAUUAAAACUACGGUGCUUGGGGAUAGAUGUGCGUCUGAUUAGCUAGUUGGUAGUGUAACGGACUACCAAGGCGAUGAUCAGUAGGGGGCGUGAGAGCGUGACCCCCCACACGGGUACUGAGACACGGACCCGACUCCUACGGGAGGCAGCAGUAAGGAAUAUUGGUCAAUGCCCGGAAGGGUGAACCAGCCAUCCCGCGUGAAGGAUGAAGGGGCUCUGCCUUGUAAACUUCUUUUGUAUGGGGCGAAAAAAGGGGAUUUAUCCUCGACUGACGGUACCAUAAGAAUAAGCACCGGCUAACUCCGUGCCAGCAACCGCGGUAAUGUAGUCGUGU